AACGAACGCUGGCGGCAUGCCUAACACAUGCAAGUCGAACGAAGGCUUCGGCCUUAGUGGCGCACGGGUGCGUAACGCGUGGGAAUCUGCCCCUCGGUUCGGAAUAACGGUUAGAAAUGACUGCUAAUACCGGAUGAUGACUUCGGUCCAAAGAUUUAUCGCCGAGGGAUGAGCCCGCGUAAGAUUAGGUAGUUGGUGGGGUAAAGGCCUACCAAGCCGACGAUCUUUAGCUGGUCUGAGAGGAUGAUCAGCCACACUGGGACUGAGACACGGCCCAGACUCCUACGGGAGGCAGCAGUGGGGAAUAUUGGACAAUGGGCGAAAGCCUGAUCCAGCAAUGCCGCGUGAGUGAUGAAGGCCUUAGGGUUGUAAAGCUCUUUUACCAGGGAUGAUAAUGACAGUACCCGGAGAAUAAGCUCCGGCUAACUCCGUGCCAGCAGCCGCAGUAA
RNAcentral lists this ribosomal RNA (449 nucleotides) under uncultured bacterium. RNAcentral describes it as "partial 16S ribosomal RNA". It matches the Rfam family "Bacterial small subunit ribosomal RNA", at positions 29 to 523 of the family's 1533-position model. The record is from RNAcentral.